RNAcentral lists this ribosomal RNA (406 nucleotides) under uncultured bacterium. RNAcentral describes it as "partial 16S ribosomal RNA". It matches the Rfam family "Bacterial small subunit ribosomal RNA", at positions 30 to 526 of the family's 1533-position model. The record is from RNAcentral.
AUUGAACGCUGGCGGCAGGCCUAACACAUGCAAGUCGAACGAGUGGCGGACGGGUGAGUAAUGUAUGGGAACGUUCCUAAUGGAGGGGGAUAACUACUGGAAACAGUGGCUAAUACCGCAUACCAUCAGAUGUGCCCAAAUGGGAUUAGCUAGUAGGUGGGGUAAAGGCUCACCAAGGCGACGAUCCGUAGCUGGUCUGAGAGGAUGACCAGCCACACUGGAACUGAGACACGGCCCAGACUCCUACGGGAGGCAGCAGUGGGGAAUAUUGGACAAUGGGCGAAAGCCUGAUGCAGCCAUGCCGCGUGUGUGAAGAAGGCCUUCGGAUUGUAAAGUACUUUCAGCGGGGAGGCGUUACCUGCAGAAGAAGCACCGGCUAACUCCGUGCCAGCAGCCGCGGUAAUUC